RNAcentral lists this ribosomal RNA (1195 nucleotides) under Microbacterium testaceum. RNAcentral describes it as "bacterial SSU rRNA". It matches the Rfam family "Bacterial small subunit ribosomal RNA", at positions 140 to 1350 of the family's 1533-position model. Lineage: Bacteria; Bacillati; Actinomycetota; Actinomycetes; Micrococcales; Microbacteriaceae. The record is from RNAcentral.
GGGAUAGCGCUGGAACGGCGUCUAAUACUGGAUAUGAGCCCCUAUCGCAUGGUGGGGGUUGGAAAGAUUUUUUGGUCUGGGAUGGGCUCGCGGCCUAUCAGCUUGUUGGUGAGGUAAUGGCUCACCAAGGCGUCGACGGGUAGCCGGCCUGAGAGGGUGACCGGCCACACUGGGACUGAGACACGGCCCAGACUCCUACGGGAGGCAGCAGUGGGGAAUAUUGCACAAUGGGCGAAAGCCUGAUGCAGCAACGCCGCGUGAGGGAUGACGGCCUUCGGGUUGUAAACCUCUUUUAGCAGGGAAGAAGCGAAAGUGACGGUACCUGCAGAAAAAGCGCCGGCUAACUACGUGCCAGCAGCCGCGGUAAUACGUAGGGCGCAAGCGUUAUCCGGAAUUAUUGGGCGUAAAGAGCUCGUAGGCGGUUUGUCGCGUCUGCUGUGAAAUCCCGAGGCUCAACCUCGGGCCUGCAGUGGGUACGGGCAGACUAGAGUGCGGUAGGGGAGAUUGGAAUUCCUGGUGUAGCGGUGGAAUGCGCAGAUAUCAGGAGGAACACCGAUGGCGAAGGCAGAUCUCUGGGCCGUAACUGACGCUGAGGAGCGAAAGGGUGGGGAGCAAACAGGCUUAGAUACCCUGGUAGUCCACCCCGUAAACGUUGGGAACUAGUUGUGGGGACCAUUCCACGGUUUCCGUGACGCANCUAACGCAUUAAGUUCCCCGCCUGGGGAGUACGGCCGCAAGGCUAAAACUCAAAGGAAUUUGACGGGGACCCGCACAAGCGGCGGAGCAUGCGGAUUAAUUCGAUGCAACGCGAAGAACCUUACCAAGGCUUGACAUAUACGAGAACGGGCCAGAAAUGGUCAACUCUUUGGACACUCGUAAACAGGUGGUGCAUGGUUGUCGUCAGCUCGUGUCGUGAGAUGUUGGGUUAAGUCCCGCAACGAGCGCAACCCUCGUUCUAUGUUGCCAGCACGUAAUGGUGGGAACUCAUGGGAUACUGCCGGGGUCAACUCGGAGGAAGGUGGGGAUGACGUCAAAUCAUCAUGCCCCUUAUGUCUUGGGCUUCACGCAUGCUACAAUGGCCGGUACAAAGGGCUGCAAUACCGUGAGGUGGAGCGAAUCCCAAAAAGCCGGUCCCAGUUCGGAUUGAGGUUGCAACUCGACCUCAUGAAGUCGGAGUCGCUAGUAAUCGCAGAUC